UCCAGACUCCUACGGGAGGCAGCAGUGGGGAAUAUUGCACAAUGGGGGAAACCCUGAUGCAGCGACGCCGCGUGAAGGAAGAAGUAUUUCGGUAUGUAAACUUCUAUCAGCAGGGAAGAAAAUGACGGUACCUGACUAAGAAGCCCCGGCUAACUACGUGCCAGCAGCCGCGGUAAUACGUAGGGGGCAAGCGUUAUCCGGAUUUACUGGGUGUAAAGGGAGCGUAGACGGCAGCGCAAGUCUGGAGUGAAAUGCCGGGGCUCAACCCCGGAACUGCUUUGGAAACUGUGCAGCUAGAGUGCGGGAGAGGUAAGCGGAAUUCCUAGUGUAGCGGUGAAAUGCGUAGAUAUUAGGAGGAACACCAGUGGCGAAGGCGGCCUGCUGGACUGCAACUGACGUUGAGGCCCGAAAGCGUGGGGAGCAAACAGGAUUAGAUACCCCGGUACA
RNAcentral lists this ribosomal RNA (447 nucleotides) under uncultured bacterium. Its description in RNAcentral is "bacterial SSU rRNA". It matches the Rfam family "Bacterial small subunit ribosomal RNA", at positions 330 to 794 of the family's 1533-position model. The record is from RNAcentral.